This 397-nucleotide ribosomal RNA is filed under the name uncultured bacterium. RNAcentral describes it as "partial 16S ribosomal RNA". It matches the Rfam family "Bacterial small subunit ribosomal RNA", at positions 523 to 918 of the family's 1533-position model. The record is from RNAcentral.
AUACGUAGGGGGCGAGCGUUGUCCGGAAUGAUUGGGCGUAAAGGGCGCGUAGGCGGCUUUGCAAGUCAGUAGUGGAAGUCCAUUUUUCAAGGAUGGAAGUGCUACAGAAACUGCGGAGCUUGAGUGCAGGAGAGGUUAUCGGAAUUCCCGGUGUAGCGGUGAAAUGCGUAGAGAUCGGGAGGAACACCAGUGGCGAAGGCGGGUAACUGGACUGCAACUGACGCUGAGGCGCGAAAGUGUGGGGAGCAAACAGGAUUAGAUACCCUGGUAGUCCACACUGUAAACGAUGAAUGCUAGGUGUAGGAGGUAUCGACCUCUUCUGUGCCGCAGUAAACACAGUAAGCAUUCCGCCUGGGGAGUACGGUCGCAAGAUUAAAACUCAAAUGAAUUGACGGGG